RNAcentral lists this ribosomal RNA (253 nucleotides) under uncultured bacterium. RNAcentral's name for it is "partial 16S ribosomal RNA". It matches the Rfam family "Bacterial small subunit ribosomal RNA", at positions 524 to 776 of the family's 1533-position model. The record is from RNAcentral.
UACGGAGGGGGCAAACGUUGCUCGGAAUCAUUGGGCGUAAAGCGCACGUAGGCGGUCCGGCAAGUCGGAGGUGAAAGCCCUCGGCUCAACCGAGGAAGUGCAUCGGAAACUACCGGACUGGAGUAUAGAAGAGGAUCGCGGAAUUCCCGGUGUAGAGGUGAAAUUCGUAGAUAUCGGGAGGAACACCAGUGGCGAAGGCGGCGAUCUGGGCUGAUACUGACGCUGAGGUGCGAAAGCGUGGGGAGCAAACAGG